Molecule: long non-coding RNA, 832 nt
Filed under: Equus asinus (donkey)
Lineage: Eukaryota; Metazoa; Chordata; Mammalia; Perissodactyla; Equidae
Description: lncRNA (ENSEASG00005032752.1)
Source: RNAcentral
GAAUGCAACCUCCCGGGGCACAGGUGAGACACUUGGAAGUGUGAGCCUGGAACUUGCAGUGUCCACACCUCGGGGGCCUGGGAACCAGACCUCGGGGCAGGGGCGAGCCCAGGCUGGCAGGAGGGUGGCUAGAGGGAUUUGAGGUGAUGGCUGCGCAGCAGUGUUCACCUGUCAAGCUGGGUCUGCGAGGUCACCAAAUGACUUCAUUCCCUGGGUGCGUGCCUGGGGCAGAGCACCACCGUGUGUCCUUGCUCGGCUGCACCACUGCCCCACAUGCAGCAGGAGCCAGGGGAGCAGAAGCAAAACCUGCAGCAGGAACUGGGGAGGGCAGCCCCCUGCCUCCUGCAGCGUCUCUCCCGCGCCCUCUACUGACAACUGUUAGCGCUGCGCUCACUUGAGGAGACAUGCCUAAGGAAUCCAGUCCCUUCUCCCAGAGCAGGUGGGACGCAAGCUGAGAAGAAUGCUCACCCACCUCAAGGGCCAUAUUUUCCAAGGAUCUCUUCAGCAAUUGCAAAAGAGGAUGAUGGCAGAGGAAGACUUCUCAGAGGGUGCAGCCAAGAGUCGUGUGGAACCAUGGACUGGGAGCCACUGCCAGGCAGCAGAACCAAGGCCCAGUGAAGGCACACUGCCUGCUCCUGGAGUGCUUAGUGUUGUGUGCCACUGAGUUUGGGGUGACUUGUUAUGCAACACUCUUGUGAAAAGGUGGCAGACACUGAAAUUGGCAUCCAGAACGAGGCCCUGGCUGCACCCAAAGGGAAACGGGGGCGUGGGGGGUUCCUUUUGCAUACCCAGUUUCUGUGGCCUUGUGUGCUCCCCGUUUUGUCCCAUGUCU